GCUGAGGCGUGAUGACGAGGCACUACGGUGCUGAAGCGACAAAUGCCCUGCUUCCAGGAAAAGCCUCUAAGCAUCAGGUAACAUCAAAUCGUACCCCAAACCGACACAGGUGGUCAGGUAGAGAAUACCAAGGCGCUUGAGAGAACUCGGGUGAAGGAACUAGGCAAAAUGGUGCCGUAACUUCGGGAGAAGGCACGCUGAUAUGUAGGUGAAGCGACUUGCUCGUGGAGCUGAAAUCAGUCGAAGAUACCAGCUGGCUGCAACUGUUUAUUAAAAACACAGCACUGUGCAAACACGAAAGUGGACGUAUACGGUGUGACGCCUGCCCGGUGCCGGAAGGUUAAUUGAUGGGGUUAGCGGCAACGCGAAGCUCUUGAUCGAAGCCCCGGUAAACGGCGGCCGUAACUAUAACGGUCCUAAGGUAGCGAAAUUCCUUGUCGGGUAAGUUCCGACCUGCACGAAUGGCGUAAUGAUGGCCAGGCUGUCUCCACCCGAGACUCAGUGAAAUUGAACUCGCUGUGAAGAUGCAGUGUACCCGCGGCAAGACGGAAAGACCCCGUGAACCUUUACUAUAGCUUGACACUGAACAUUGAGCCUUGAUGUGUAGGAUAGGUGGGAGGCUUUGAAGUGUGGACGCCAGUCUGCAUGGAGCCGACCUUGAAAUACCACCCUUUAAUGUUUGAUGUUCUAACGUUGGCCCGUAAUCCGGGUUGCGGACAGUGUCUGGUGGGUAGUUUGACUGGGGCGGUCUCCUCCUAAAGAGUAACGGAGGAGCACGAAGGUUGGCUAAUCCUGGUCGGACAUCAGGAGGUUAGUGCAAUGGCAUAAGCCAGCUUGACUGCGAGCGUGACGGCGCGAGCAGGUGCGAAAGCAGGUCAUAGUGAUCCGGUGGUUCUGAAUGGAAGGGCCAUCGCUCAACGGAUAAAAGGUACUCCGGGGAUAACAGGCUGAUACCGCCCAAGAGUUCAUAUCGACGGCGGUGUUUGGCACCUCGAUGUCGGCUCAUCACAUCCUGGGGCUGAAGUAGGUCCCAAGGGUAUGGCUGUUCGCCAUUUAAAGUGGUACGCGAGCUGGGUUUAGAACGUCGUGAGACAGUUCGGUCCCUAUCUGCCGUGGGCGCUGGAGAACUGAGGGGGGCUGCUCCUAGUACGAGAGGACCGGAGUGGACGCAUCACUGGUGUUCGGGUUGUCAUGCCAAUGGCACUGCCCGGUAGCUAAAUGCGGAAGAGAUAAGUGCUGAAAGCAUCUAAGCACGAAACUUGCCCCGAGAUGAGUUCUCCCUGAGACUUAGAGUCUCCUGAAGGAACGUUGAAGACGACGACGUUGAUAGGCCGGGUGUGUAAGCGCAGCGAUGCGUUGAGCUAACCGGUACUAAUGAACCGUGAGGCUUAACCUU
This 1396-nucleotide ribosomal RNA is filed under the name Escherichia coli. Its description in RNAcentral is "partial 23S ribosomal RNA". It matches the Rfam family "Bacterial large subunit ribosomal RNA", at positions 1555 to 2925 of the family's 2925-position model. The record is from RNAcentral. Lineage: Bacteria; Pseudomonadati; Pseudomonadota; Gammaproteobacteria; Enterobacterales; Enterobacteriaceae.